This 453-nucleotide long non-coding RNA is filed under the name Ananas comosus (pineapple). RNAcentral describes it as "long non-coding RNA (ACOM_LNC009009)". Lineage: Eukaryota; Viridiplantae; Streptophyta; Magnoliopsida; Poales; Bromeliaceae. The record is from RNAcentral.
GAGUCAUAGGUCGGAACACAGUCAACGACCCUCCAGAAUACCUGAAAAACUCAGAACACUAAUCAAACACUCGAACCUUACAAUUUUCUAAAGUUCAGUGUGUUACAAUUUUUCUAUCUCCUUUUUUUAUCGUCUCUAACCCCUUAAAUAGAACUUCUAUUUGUUGCCUAGGUGGAUGAGUGGGAAGAUUUUUUUGUACGUAGUGGGUGAGUGGGAGAGGUUUCCUUUUAUACGUGGUGGGUAAGUAGGAAGGGUUUUUUUUUUUUUUUUGACAUGGUGGGUGAGUGGGAAAUUCAUGAGAGGAUUUCUUUUAUUGUUGUUGCGGGGCCCCCACAAGAGAUACUCCUCUCUUUUAAAAUAAUAAUAAUAAUAAUAAUAAUAAUAAUAAUAAUAAUAAUAAUAAUAAUAAUAAUAAUAAUAAAGAUUGUGGGCCCCACGUAGGAGAUAUGAUAG